UGGAGUGGGAAGGGCUAGCUGCCUGGGAGGAAGGUACCUGAAGCAGAGCACUGUUGGGGAAGGGAAAUACAUUGGAAUGGGUGAGUCCACAGAAGCCAUGGAAAGAAAUGGGGGCUGCUGUCCUUGGUUCUGAACUAGAUGGGACAUGGAACAGUACUGAGAAGAAAUGGGAUGAUUAUUCACUAACCCUGAGCUCUUACCAAGCCACACGGAGCCCAGAGGCUAAUAUUCUACAGAACUUCCCCAGGCUCUGAUACGUAACUUAUUAGAUUUUCUAAAGAUAACCCAUACGUUUUUCCAGAGGACUUCUACAGAAAAUGUUCUAUAACAAAGUUACAAUUUGCUGUGGGUUUCAGACUCUUCAGCAGAGGAAGCCAUUGGACUUGUCCAUGUGAGGAUCUGAGGAGACUAUCACCUCAAGUCUUUUCUUUCCAAAGGAAAUCAGCUCAACACCCUUAACUUUUCACUAAGAUUAGUUCUCAAGACAGUGCAUCUUGGUUGCCUCCUGGUACCCUCUCACCAAGGCACUUUCUUGUCUGUGGAAUGGUCCUCUGACCUGCCCACAGAAUCCCAGAUGGGAAUCACACUAGGGCAUUAUGCAGUCAUAGCAGCAGCUUCUCCAGGACAACAACUUGCUUCCUGUGUUGCGGGACUGGCACUGCAGCCAGUAGUCAAAGUGUUAAGAACCCAGUGAAAACCUGUUCAGUUCUCCCUCUUGGGGCCAGUCUCACCACCCAAGAACAAAAAGACAAUGGAAUUAAAGGGCAGCAGGUUCAGUGCAAUGAAGAGGCUAGGGGAGGAUGUAAAAUAACGAAUGUACUGCAUUACAUGAGUCAUUCCACCUUCCUCUAAAGCCUCAGGGCCUGGCCAUGCCCAAAGCAAGAUGCUAGAAUUACUAGACCAAUUAUCUGGUGCGAAACUCUUAAGCGCCUGCUCCUGAUGGGACCUAAUCUUCAGUGUACAUCAAGCAUCACCUUGGAUUUUAAUUUCCUUCCUUUGCUUUAACUGUGUAGUACCCAUGCU
Long non-coding RNA from Chelonia mydas (Green sea turtle), 1023 nucleotides. RefSeq lists it as uncharacterized. NCBI's taxonomy places the organism in Eukaryota, Metazoa, Chordata, Testudines, Cheloniidae. The record is from RefSeq and is a predicted model, not a curated record. The transcript is spliced from 2 exons.